Molecule: long non-coding RNA, 3691 nt
Filed under: Salmo salar (Atlantic salmon)
Lineage: Eukaryota; Metazoa; Chordata; Actinopteri; Salmoniformes; Salmonidae
Description: lncRNA (ENSSSAG00000101543.1)
Source: RNAcentral
UGUCUUAGGUCUCUUAUGUAGUAUUGUGGUCCCAGCCACCGUCCCCGCAAAAGGCCUUUUGCCGCUUGGUUCCUCCGCAUGCCGUACGGCAUCUCCACUGGCAGUGAGGUCUUCCAGAGAUCGAUGGAGCAUCUGUUUGCUGGGCAGCCAUGUAAGAUAGUGGACGACAUCCUGGUGUGGGGGACACACACUGGAUGAACACGAUGAGCGCCUCAAACAGGUCCUCAACAGGAUUAGGGCUGUCAACGUGAAGCUGAAUCCAGAGAAGUGCAGAUUCAGGCUCCAUAACAUUCCCUACGUCGGGCAACUUCUCACAGCCAACAGAGUGAAACCUGACCUGGAAAAGACAGGCCAUCAUGCAGAUGCCCAAGCCAGCAGAAAAGCAGACACUGCAGCACUUUCUGGGUCUGACUAACUAUCUAAGUUCACGCCACAAUACAGUGAGGUGAUGGGGCUCCUCUAUCAGGAUACUGAAUGAUGCUGUAAGGAGCAACAUGACACUGCCCUGACCAAACUGAAAGAGUUGCUGUCGAAGUACUGGAGCACCGGUUAGCUAUGAUGUGGGCAAACCAGUGAUGAUAUCUGCAGAUGCAUCCCAGCAUGGUCUCGGAGAAAUAUGUCUACAAAUAAAAUUGUAUUUGUCACAUGCUUCGUAAACAACAGUGGAAUGCUUACUUAUGGGCCCUUCCCAACAAUGCAGAGAGAAAAAUAUAGAAAAAGAAUAACACAAGGAACAAAUACACAAUGAAUAACAAUAACUUGGCUGUAUGCAGAGGGUACCAGUACCGAGUUGAUGUGCAGGGGUAAGAGGUACAGUUGAAGUCGGAAGUUUACAUACAACUCAGCCAAAUACAUUUAAACUCAGUUUUUCACAAUUCCUGACAUUUAAUCCUAUUAAAAUUCCCUGUCUUAGGUCAGUUAGAUCACCAGUUUAUUUUAAGAAUGUGAAAUGUCAGGAUAAUAGUAGAGAGAAUGAUUUAUUUCAGCUUUUAAUUCUUUCAUCACAUUCCCCCUGGAUCAGAAGUUUACAUACACUUAGUAUUUGGUAGCAUUGCCUUUAAAUUGUUUAACUUGGGUCAAACGUUCAGGUAGCCUUCCACAAGCUUUCCACAAUAAGUUUUGGUGAAUUUUGGCCCAUUCCUCCUGACAGAGCUGGUGUAACUGAGUCAGGUUUGUAGGCCUCCUUGCUCACACACGCUUUAUCAGUUCUGCCCACACAUUUUCUAUAGGAUUGAGGUCAAGGCUUGUGAUGGCCACUCCAAUACCUUGACUUUGUUGUCCUUAAGCCAUUUUGCCACAACUUUGGAAGUAUGGUUUGGGUCAUUGUCCAUUUGGAAGACCCAUUUGCGACCAAGCUUUAACUUCCUGACUGAUGUCUUGAGAUGUAGCUUCAAUAUAUCCACAUAAUUUUCCUUCCUCGUGUUGCCAUCUAUUUUGUGAAGAAGCACCAGUCCCUCCUGCAGCAAAGCACCCCCAGAGCAUGAUGCUGCCACCCCCAUGCUACACGGUUGGGAUGGUGUUCUUCGGCUUGCAAGCCUCCCCCUUUUUCCUCCAAACAUAACGAUGGUCAUUAUGGCCAAACAGUUGAAUUUUUGUUUCAUCAGACCAGAGGACAUUUCUCCAAAAAGUACGAUCUUUGUGCCCAUGUGCAGUUGCAAACCGUAGUCUGGCUUUUUUAUUGCAGUUUUGGAGCAGUGGCUUCUUCCUUGCUGAGCGGCCUUUCAGGUUAUGUCGAUAUAGGACUCGUUUUACUGUGGAUAUAGAUACUUUUGUACAGCAUGUUCACAAGGUCAUUUGCUGUUGUUCUGGAAUUGAUUUGCACUUUUCGCACCAAAGUACGUUCAUCUCUAGGAGACAGAAUGUGUCUCAUUCCAUGAGCGGUAUGACUGCUGCAUGGUCCCAUGGUGUUUAUACUUGCAUACUAUUGUUUGUACAGAUGAACGUGGUACCUUCAGGCAUUUGGAAUUUGCUCCCAAGGAUGAACCAGACUUGUGGAGGUCUACACUUUUUUUCUGAGGUCUUGGCUGAUAAUUUUUUUCCCCCCAUGAUAUCAAGCAAAGAGGCACUGAGUUUGAAGGUAGGCCUUGAAAUACAUCCACAGGUACACCUCCAAUUGACUCAAAUGAUGUCAAUUAGCCUAUCAGAAGCGUCUAAAGCCAUCACAUCAUUUUCUGGAAUUUUCCAAGCUGUUUAAAGGCACAGUCAACUUAGUGUAUGUGAACUUCUGACCCAUUGGAAUUUUGAUACAGUGAAAUAAUCUGUCUGUAAACAAUUGUUUGAAAAAUGUAUUGUGUCAUGCACAAAGUAGAUGUCCUAACUGACUUGCCAAAACUAUAGUUUGUUAACAAGAAAUUUGUGGAGUGGUUGAAAACUUCCAACUUCAACUGUAGGUAUUCAUCUUGAUGAUCGGAUAGUCUCGAACGGAGAUCAUCCAGUUCUCCAGUGACUGCACAUUCGCCAACAGAACCGAGGUCAAUGGCGGUCUAUUUGUUCACUGACGUAAUCUUGUUAGAAGGCCGCCUCGCCUGCUUAUUUUGCAUGGCCAUUUUCUCUUUCGAGUCCAGGGGAUUAGGGCCUGUUCCAGUGUAAUCACUGUUCUGAUGUCCAGAAGCCGUUUUAGGUCAUAGACAUUAUGUAAGGACAGACAAAAAACACGCAAAAUGGCAGAAUUGGUCAGGAGCCCAUAAAAACUCUGCUUCCCUUAUCAGUGGCUCCAUCUCCGAUGAGCGAAGUGCCAGAGACACACCUGCUGCAGGGGUUGGAUUGAAUUUGGCUACCAGAGGAUUCAGUAUGCAUGCAAAGCGCUCAUGCAGUGACUACAGGAGGACCUAUGCCAACUGUUUUACAACAGUAGUUGACUGCAAGUGUGCCUCAAGUUUGAGCAGGCACGGCACCACCUCAGAUAGUGACUGGCUGCUGAUGUUUCAAAUAGGCCUAGCUUGUGAAUCACUAUCACUAGCUAUCACUAGCUAACAUGGGAAAAAAAUCAUAGGGCGAGCACAGCCUGUAGUGUGGUUUUCCACUUUAAUUUUGAGUGUGACUCCAAAUCCAGACCUCCAUGGGUUGAUCAAUUGGGUUUCCAUUGAUUAUUUUUGUGUGAUUUUGUUGUCAGCACAUUCAACUAUGUAAAGAAAAAAGUAUUUAAUAAGAUUUUUUAUUUCAUUCAGAUCUAGGAUGUGUUGUUUAAGUGUUCCCUUUAUUUUUUUGAGCAGUAUAUAUAGUGAAUGUAGGCUGUGUGCCAUUUUUAAAUGUAUGUCGUUUUUUCUUGUUCUAGUCUAUUAAUGUUCUGUAUGUCAUGUUUUCUGCUUUCACAACAGCUAAUACAGAGCCUAAUAAAAUACCAAAUAAAUCAACAGAAUGAUCAAUACAUCAUCAACAAUCUAGUUGACAUCGGUAAAGUUCUCUCUUUCAUUUUUGCUUCUCUCACCGAGUGAGGACGUUUAUUGAUGGAGAUUUCCAAGUGACAUCAGCUGGACCGGUUUACAGGAAAUAAAAAUCUGUAAAAACAAUCCCACAUGUUUCUGAAAGUAUUUUAGUUUGUUUGGAUGCAUAUUUUAUGUGGUUGAAAAUGAAAUACCGUCAGCUUUUAUGUCGCUGAAAGAAAUUGCGAGUUUAGGCUACACAAUAGCUCCCUGAGUGCGCAAUCGCAUUCUGUCAAGAUGCUGAAAUAAAUAAAUGAUAUUUCUCCAAA